GGAUGCGAUCAUACCAGCACUAAAGCACCGGAUCCCAUCAGAAAUCAGAACUCCGAAGUUAAGCGUGCUUGGGCGAGAGUAGUACUAGGAUGGGUGACCUCCUGGGAAGUCCUCGUGUUGCAAUUC
This 126-nucleotide ribosomal RNA is filed under the name Triticum aestivum (bread wheat). The record is from RNAcentral. Lineage: Eukaryota; Viridiplantae; Streptophyta; Magnoliopsida; Poales; Poaceae.